Molecule: ribosomal RNA, 252 nt
Filed under: uncultured bacterium
Lineage: Bacteria
Description: partial 16S ribosomal RNA
Rfam family: Bacterial small subunit ribosomal RNA
Source: RNAcentral
UACGGAGGAUGCAAGCGUUAUCCGGAAUGAUUGGGCGUAAAGCGUCCGCAGGUGGCGAUGUAAGUCUGCUGUUAAAGAGUCUAGCUCAACUAGAUAAGAGCAGUGGAAACUACAUAGCUAGAGUACGUUCGGGGCAGAGGGAAUUCCUGGUGUAGCGGUGAAAUGCGUAGAGAUCAGGAAGAACACCAGUGGCGAAGGCGCUCUGCUAGGCCGUACUGACACUGAGGGACGAAAGCUAGGGGAGCGAAUGGG